GCGGCUGUGGCGGAAUUGGCAGACGCGCUAGAUUCAGGUUCUAGUGGCCGCAAGGUCGUGGAGGUUCAAGUCCUCUCAGCCGCAC
Molecule: transfer RNA, 85 nt
Filed under: uncultured organism
Description: tRNA-Ser
Rfam family: tRNA
About the family: Transfer RNA (tRNA) molecules are approximately 80 nucleotides in length.
Source: RNAcentral